CCUACGGGUGGCAGCAGUGGGGAAUAUUACACAAUGGGGGAAACCCUGAUGCAGCGACGCCGCGUGAGCGAUGAAGUAUUUCGGUAUGUAAAGCUCUAUCAGCAGGGAAGAAAAUGACGGUACCUGACUAAGAAGCCCCGGCUAACUACGUGCCAGCAGCCGCGGUAAUACGUAGGGGGCAAGGGUUAUCCGGAUUUACUGGGUGUAAAGGGAGCGUAGACGGUCCUGAAAGCCAGAGGUGAAUGCCCGGGGCUCAACCCCGGGACUGCAUUUGGAACUGUAAGGCUAGAGUGUCGGAGAGGCGGGCGGAAUGCCUAGUGUAGCGGUGAAAUGCGUAGAUAUCUGGAGGAACAUCAGUGGCGAAGGCGACUAUCUGGCACAUAACUGACGCUGAGGAGCGAAAGCGUGGGUAGCAAACAGGAUUAGAUACCCGAGUAGUC
This 440-nucleotide ribosomal RNA is filed under the name uncultured bacterium. RNAcentral's name for it is "partial 16S ribosomal RNA". It matches the Rfam family "Bacterial small subunit ribosomal RNA", at positions 338 to 795 of the family's 1533-position model. The record is from RNAcentral.